RNAcentral lists this long non-coding RNA (4630 nucleotides) under Cairina moschata (Muscovy duck). RNAcentral describes it as "domestica (muscovy Duck (domestic type)) lncRNA (ENSCMMG00000005878.1)". The record is from RNAcentral. Lineage: Eukaryota; Metazoa; Chordata; Aves; Anseriformes; Anatidae.
AGCCCCGACGGCGGCGGCGGAGCGGGAGCGGCCGCCCCUAUAAUUUAUUCCUCGGACUGGCCCGGCCCGGCCGCCCGCCCGCAGCGCUAUUUAUUGGGGGCGCCGGCCGCAGCAGAAGUAGCCAAAGGUUUGCGAUCUCUAAUUUAUUCCCUCCCCCGCGGGGCCGCCGGAGCCCCCGCUGCGGCCGCCGGGCUCGCCCCGAGGGCACCGCGCCGCGCUCCCGGCCCGUUUCUAUUUAUUUUCUAACCGUGCGCGGAGCUCUGCCCCUCCCGUUGGUAGGUUCGGUUCGUUCCCCACCCCAGUCCCCCCUCCCCCCUUUCCCCUUUGGUUUCGGUUUUUUGUUUGUAUCUUUAUUGCAAAAACCACUGUAGACUGCGAGGGUGCGUUUCUAUUUAUGUUAUAGUAAAUAUUUUAUUACUUACAUAAACCAUUUACCCAGGAACCGGUCUCGUGUCGUCUUUGCGGGCUGCGGGGACGGGACCGGGCUCCCGAGGUGACCCCCGAGGGGUCGCCGUUGUCCUGAGGCUGCCCCUGUUGUCCCCCCCCAGCUCCCCGGGGGCUCCGUCGGGGCGCUUGUGCGAGCGGCCGGCCGCGGCACUGGGAUGCGCGGUGCUGGGGGUGCAGAGCCUUUCGCUGCCCCGACCGCAACUUUUUGCCGUCCAGGAAGCGUGACUUCUCCCCGCUGCUCACCGAAAUAACGAGAUAAUGCCCCGCGGGGUAGCAAAGAAGACUCCCUCUCCUCGCCCCAAGCGCGCUCCAGGGUUUUCCGAUGCCACCGCUUUCCCCCUCCGUGGUUCAGUGCCCCGCUGGUUUGUGGUUACGCCGGGAGAGGCUGAAAAUGUCGCUGCCGUGCUCUUCUGUUUGUGGAAGGAUCAGCUCGCAGCUCUCCUUAACCUCUUCUCUUGCAGCAGACGCCAAGAAAAGUCGCACCUGAACCCGAUCUCCUCUGCUCACUGCAACCUGCUCAGAGCCCGAUGGCAGCCGGCCGUGCAGACUGUCCCCGAGCAGCUAAAGCAGCAGCGGGAGCUCAGGAGCUCAUCUCUACGUGUAAAUGUGGAGCAUCGGCGUUAGCGCCCUGGAAGCUUGUCCCCACCUCGGCCCGUCCCUGCUCGCUGGCUCUCCGGCAAGGAGGGAUUUCAGCACCGCCUGCUUGAGCGUAUAUUUUAAUUCUGUGCUAAUGCCACCGAUGUUUGCAUGCGCUUUAAGUCAAUGCUUUAACUAAUGCUGCCGCUGCUUGGUUGGGGCUGGAUCAGCCCCGGGAGGGCUCGGUCAAUGCUGUUACUUCGCGGGUACCGGCAGUAAAAGGGGUUUGUGCCCACAGGGGAUCUGCAGCUCCCUGCCCGCCUCGUGCUGCUCCUUGCAGCAGGGUGUCAGAGAGAAGCCCAUCCCAGCUGACAAACUGGGUUUGGGUGCAGGAGGGGAGCAUGCCCAGGAGCUGAUCAGCUCUGGGCAGGGCCUGGGGGGCUGUUGUAAGCCCCCAGUGUCCUCUACGUGCCUGCAGGGGACAGUGUCUGGGCUCGCUGACAUUCUUAGCGCUGCUCAGACCUGGCAGGGCAGAGCCUCGUGGAAGGGGCAGCCCCAGCAACCUGCAGGAGCAGGGCACGGGCUCUGCUCAGCACCACGGUGUUUGGGGAAGGCACGGGGCAGCAGCUCCUUAAACCUUUCACACAACCCCACGGCACCGAGCAGCGCUGAUGUGCGGGCGCCCGGCAUCGCUCCCGCUUGUCGUUUGCUGCUGAGCAUAACGGUGCUCACGGCUCUCACCUGGGCACAGAAAUACCAAUAAGGGCAAUCAGCAGAUGUUUGCCUUUGUGAUUCAUGGAAACUCGCCUGCGAAAGUUCCCCCUCGUUUCAAUUAGGACUAAUGAGAGCUGGCUCCUGCGCGCAGCCUAUCACGCCGGGCACGGGGAUUACGAGGCUGCAGAGGCAGCAUUAGGGCGCGCGGUGCUGCGUGCCACAUCUAACGUGCACAUUAGAUCAGCCCUCAUGAAUGUUUCAUGCUCCUCGAUAUCACAUUAUUUUGGGGGUUGGUCAAAGCGAAUGUUAUCGGCUGGAAGCGGCACAGAGCAGGGAUGUGUUAGCGCGCGGCGCCCUGGCUCCUGCACCUGAGAGCACCUGCUACAGAGGGGAGCGCUGUCCCUGCCAAACUUUAAAGGUAUUUUUUUAUCAAUUUUAUUCUAUUUUGGAGCACCCUGCCCCAUGAAGCUGUGUCCCACCCCCAGCACCCUGCUGGAUUUCCUCAUGGGAAUGAGGAAAUGAUUUUGCAGCCCUGACCCCUCUGCUGGGUUAUUGCUCUCCCAGGUCCUUUUGCCUUUUAAUCCCUGCAGUGGUUGCUGUGAAGCCAGGAGGGACAGCAGGCAGCACGCCGAAGAGCAGUAUUUCUUCUGCAGUGCUUCCAAGCUGGCUUUUUUGUCACCAGGUUUAGGAAGGACUGUGGGGAGCUGAAGCUUUGCAGCUCCCUGUCCCAGGGGCCGUAUCCUGCACAGCUGGGUGCCUGGAAAGGGAACAAAAUUGUGCCCACAAAUCCAUGCAGAUGUCAUGAGCACGCACCGGAGCUGUCGGGUGCUCCGUGGAAGUGCCUGCCCCUCGCCAGGGGAUCGCUGCAAGGUGUGAGGAAGGCAAUGGGCAGUUUUUCAUUUCGUUGUGUUAGUCCUAUGGCUUUUCAGUGCCUUGAGCUCAGUGCGUAUUAGUGCCUCCUGCUCACCCUUCGUGCAUUGAGAUGGUGCUGGCUUUAAAUUUGCAGCCAAAAAACUCUAGGAAAUAGAGAAGUUGAGAUUGCCAUGUUUGCAUCUUUUGCAGUCACUUGCAGGCUUGGUUUUGAAGAGUCAGGCCAUUGCAUCAGGUGUCUUUAAUUACAUUUAUAAAGUGGAAAAGUUUGGUCAUUUUUUUAAACCUGAAAAUUGAAACGAUGGCUUUUCAAGUAGAUUGAGAGCAGCACAGGCAGUCAGAGAGCUGCAGUCCUAAGGGCAGUGGCCGGACCUGCAGCGGAGACUUUCCUCUAGGAUCAGGGUAUCAGAGCUCCCAGACUUUGCUUCCAGAUCUCCUGUUGCUCUUCUUUCCUCUUCUGUUCUCCUGAUGUGGGCACAUACGAUCACUUCUCUCCUGAUCGGGUGCACCAGCUCGUGCUGCAGAGCCUGGGAGGAUCCGAUGGGGUGCCGAUGGUCCCUUGGGUGCCACUCGGGGCUCUGCUGUGCCUCAGCCCGGCUGCUGCCAGUCCCUGCAGGCACGGAGGAGAAGCUGGGUGCCUGGCAGGCUGCAUGACCCCGCCAACCUCCACCACAAGCAAACCUCGUGUCUCGUGGCGCAGGCUGCAAACCACGCGGGGUGUUGUGUUGUGGGGUUUUUCCUUUGAAUGUUGUCACUUCAGGGAGCAGAGCUGGAGUCACCCGUGCUCCUCUGUGUGGAGGACACGUGCUGAGCCCGCCGGUGCCUGCAGAGCAGCCUGCACAUCGUCAUCGUUGUCUCCGUGAAGGAUGCUCCUGCAGCAAACGGGGCCAAAAGAAGCAGCGGGCAUCUGCAGCCCUGCAGCCCUCCUGCCCUGCAUGGCCCAAGGUAGGUGUGAGAGCCGUGCUCUUGUUCCUGGGCAUGGAAACACAAAGGGGAUUUGCUCCUGACAGAAGGCUUCUGAGCUCUUUUUUUUUUUUUUUCUUAAAAUGACUGUUUAUUCUCAACAGCAACACUCAAUUUCAUUUUUUAGUGAGAACGUGCAGCUUCCCACCUCCUGAAGGAUCCCACCACUGGCUCUCUCUCCCUCGGUCUUUCAGGCUGCUGGGCACUUGUGGUAGCACAGCACCCUGCCCUCUCCCACCCCCAGGCCAUGAAGAGCCGUGUGGGGUCAGCAGCAGCCUUGUCCCUCCUGCCUGCAGCUCCCUGUCCCUGCUGAAGGCACAGCCAGGGAUAUCUGCAACCUCCAGAAAGUGGCUGUGGUCACCAGAAAGACAAAACAAGAAAUAAUCCCUGAAUGUUUGCCAACCCAUGGGCUCCUCUCCGUGUGUCACAUCUGGGUGCUGCGUUUGGGAUGAGCUGGGGGUGUCGGGGCACAGCGUGGGGCUGAGAUUUGGGGCCACAGCUGGGUGCUGCAGGAACAAAAAGGUCGGAUCUGCUCUGCAGGUAAACGCCCCCCAUCCUGGCACCCUCCACCACGCUGUGCCCCCAGGUGGGGGUUUGCAGCCCCCAGCUGCUGCUGGGGAUGGGCACAGCUCAGCGGCACCGAGGGGAGCGUGCGGGAUCGAUCCCCGGAGCGUUUGAUAUUCUGCUUAGUGGAACACUUGUUAUGUCUUUAAUUACUAUUUCUAAAAGCACCACAGGAUGGAAAGCAAAAGCCAGAAAUAAAUAGCGAGGGGUGAUCAAUUGGGCAUGAAACCCUUGUUAUUGAUCACCUUUAACCUCUGCUUAAACUAAUGACAGAGCUACCAUUUAACUGUCCCCAGGCACAAAGCACAUCAAUUGCACGAGUGCCACAUAAAUCACGGUGGGUUGCUGUGCUCUGGGGAGGGCGAGGGGCCCCUCUGGGCUGCAGGGCCCCGGCCAGUGCUGCUGCAGCACCCUCGCUCGGCUCCCCUCUGGAUGCUGCUGCUCCCCCAAAAUGGGCUCCCACUAGCCGAGCCCCAGCUCCCUGGAUGGGGCUGCA